AUUUAUAUAUGAGUGAUUAUGUAUCCCUGUUGUUUUUCAGUGUCUUCUCAGAAACCACCAGCCUUGAAGGCUACAAGUGACGAGAAAGAUUCUGUUUCGAAUAUAGCCACACAAAUAAAGGAUGGAGAAAAAUCUGGGACAGUGGUGCUAUCCCUAGGGCAGAGAAGACCCAGAGAAAGCCCAAGUGGCUGCUGGAACAAAGUCAGACACCGUGCCACCUGUCCACACUCAUUGGCUCUGCCAUCAUGCUGAAGAUCGGUUGAAAGGACUGGCUUCCCUCCCCCCAAAAUUAAAAGAGCACAAACUGAGAAACUGAAUGUGGGAGACAGCAGUGGAUUAUGCUGUUCUCAGGGGUCACCUCAGGUUUGGAAGCAUUCUUUCAAAUUAACCCAUCUCAGGCCAUCUGCAGAGAAGAAAGGUGGCACCUAACUUUUUUUCUUGUCAGCAUUUGGUAGGGGUGUUUUAUUAACCAAAUAUAUUCCCACAACCUAGUUUUUUGUAACUAAAUAUAGUAGAUUUUUAAAUUUUAUCAUCAAAAUCUAUAGACAAUUUUUUAUUAAAAUAGACUCCACAUCUAUGUCCUGCUUUUCUUCUUCUUAUUAAUUACAGUGCUGUAUAAAAGAACAAGACUUCAGAAUCAAGAAUAUCUUGUCUCUUGGCAUUGAAUUUAUACAAGGUGCUCUUUCUUUAAUGCUGUCUCAAAGGACAUAUUUUUAUUCAUUAAAAAGGAAGAUCGGAAUCUAGUUGUAUGCACUGCUCCAACAUAUUAAUACAUAAAAUUAGGAGGUAAAUGUGGUCAAAGCUAUAGAAAGACUUGAGAUGUCAUUUAUAUUGAUUACUGUAUAGCACUCUACAAACAGAAAUUGUUAAAUAAUAGUUUAUAUAAAUAUUUUGUAGCAUUUCAAAUAUUUGAGUGCCUGAAGUUUCUCCUCUUACAUAGUUCAGAUUAUCAAUUUGGAGACUUACUCCGCUAGUUAAAAUGUUUUUAGUCUCGUUUGAGUAUUAUAUAAAAGCAAUUUUCAGUUAAAUGUGUUCCGCUUACAUAAAACAUUACAAAUUAGUGAGUAUUUAAUUACAUUUUCAUGUUCCUGUAAUGUCUUUAGAAGAUUUUCAUAUUACCUAUCAAUAUAUGUAUGCUUUGUCCAAGAAAAAUCAAACAUAUAUAUAAUUGAAAUGGAAACUUUUUAAAAGUACUUAUUAAUUCCAUUGAAAAACCACAUCCAUAGGAACAAUUACAAUAUAAUAUUGUGAACAUGUAAAUAUAUAUCCUAUUUUAUAUAUAAGCAUAUAUGAUUACAAAUAUAGUUAAGAAUUUUUAAACCUAGUAUUAUAAAGUAAAAAUUAGUUAAACUUCUGAUGAUUAUUUAUUAAUGAAGAUAAAAUUAUUUUGAUUUGGG
This 1397-nucleotide long non-coding RNA is filed under the name Homo sapiens (human). RNAcentral describes it as "HSALNT0230137". The record is from RNAcentral. Lineage: Eukaryota; Metazoa; Chordata; Mammalia; Primates; Hominidae.